RNAcentral lists this long non-coding RNA (2304 nucleotides) under Canis lupus familiaris (dog). RNAcentral's name for it is "lncRNA (ENSCAFG00000051963.1)". The record is from RNAcentral. Lineage: Eukaryota; Metazoa; Chordata; Mammalia; Carnivora; Canidae.
AUGGCCUGGGGCAGAAGCCCCGUUUUGCCCAGAAGACUCCGGAGUCCGCUCCGCCGGCUGCUGCCCUCGGCGCCAGGCCCAGCGGCCUUCGCCCCGCCCCCCGUCUCUCAUUGGCUCCCCCGGGACACGUGGGGGGAAGGAGGCGUGGCCACCGCGGCUGGGGCUGGCGGCCUGCGGCCGGCGGGGAUGAGAGGCCCGCGGACUCGGGCCUGGGGCCGCAUGGCAACCGUGGUGCCGGGCUGCUGGCGACGGCGGAGGGCGGAGGAGCUUCAGGUUCCGGGGGACGCGAAACGGGCAUGCAGGAGAGGAGAAGCAGCCGGGCCAGAGUGGGGCCGAGCCCCUGUGAAGCUCAGUGCCCCAGUGUCCUGCAGCGGCGAGGGGCUGCCACGUGUGGGGAUUCCUCAGAACGGCGGAAGGAGCUGGGCCCAGCCUUGCCCGAGAUGUAUGGCGGGGGAGUCUGAAAUGGACACCAUCGUGGACCAGCCCGCUGGCAUCAUGAUGUGGUCUUGGAGAGCAGGGCUCCCCUGCCGGCUCCUGCCACUGGGCCACAGAUCCACACCGCUCUUUGCCGGGAUUGUGGCCAAGUGGGACAACGGUUUCUACAUGCCGGACAAGACCUCGUUUCACAGUGGCACAGCGUCUGGCCACCUGUCCGCCCCUAGCCAUCUGGUCCUCCCAGUUAUUUCUGCGGGUGAAGGGACAUCUUAACCACACCGAGAACCAUUAAGGAGCAAGCUGGAAGGUUCCAGUUUGGGUCUCAAGACGUCCAUGUGCCAACAAGUGUCAAUCUCACAGAUGGACCUGGGCACCCACCUGUUGGAAUCACCGGUUCAGGAGAUCCCAUCGCCUACCGCGCUAGAGCCAGGAGGACCCCCAUCACCUCAUAGGAGCCUUCGGACUGUUGGCACCUGCUGCACCCUUCAGAUGUAUCUUCUUGACAAGGAAAUCAUUUGCAUCAUGUAAAAGUUAAAGAACAUUUCAGUGUCAAAUUUCCUAUGAAGUUAGAGAACCCUGUGGCUCAUGGAACCAUAUCCAGAUGUAGCUCUGCUUUCAGACUCUCCAGUAGUUUUGUGGUUGUACCCAGGGCUCCUUAUAUGCUCAUUUUUAAUUAAAAGAUUUAUUUUUAUAUUUAAAAUACUCUAUAAUCUUAAACUGAAUUUUACUAAAUGUUGGUGUCCAUUCCGUUCUGUGUAAUUCCCCAAAUGAAGUUAUCGGGCACAGGGCCUCUUUUAUAUUAAAAUUGAAAUUUCUCACUUUUCUUGGGUUUUCAAUGCAUCAUCUGACUGUGGAGACGGGUGUCACUUUCCCUGGAUCUGAAGGCUUCCUGAGAUGUCCUAGUACUUACCAGACACGGUCCUCACAAAAUCACUGGGUUCCAGCUCCACUCUCAGGCUCUUUACCCUUCCAAGGCCAGGGUGGUGGGCAGAGGCCCUGCACUCCCUGCCUGGUCAUCUCAUGCCCAUGGCCUGUUCCCUGCCAGCGGCUGUCCCUCAGCACCGACAUCCGCAGGGCCAGCCCGCCAGCGGUCACGGCAUGUGGUCAUGGAGGGACUUCACGUGGCGCAGAAGGGCAGACCGGGUGUUGGGAGGAAACCCGUACGACACCAGCUGUGCUGUGGAUUAUCCGGGAUCACAGGGCACUGCUGUGUCGCAGGAAAGAGGAGACUGCCUCCGGCAUCCGGGGAGGUCACAAGUCCUGUGGCCCAGAGUCAGGUCACCAACUGCCGGGGAUGAGCCAGCCGUCCUCACCAGGAUGACCAGGCCUGGAGCGGCGAGCCUGAGGUCUGUGGCCGUGAAACAGGUGCCAUCAGGGAGCUUUCUUGUGCUCCUCUCUGCUAAAGGAGACGCGUCGUAAUUCUUAGAGAAACCGUGGGGGCGCAGAGCUUCUUAGAUUCACAGCAUUCCUUUUUGUGCGUCAGCCCGUCCGUUUCGCCCAGAUUCACGGGGAGAGGAGGAGGCCGCACGUUUACUUAGUUGUGCUGGGGAACGAGCGCACACAUCGCCGCGGCUACUUGGUGAAGAAAGCUUGUUCCGUGGAGAGUAAGCCCCCUGCCCCUUCCUGCCUGGUGGGAGGCACCCCGUGCAGAGCCAGCCAGAUGGGGUGCAAGGCUCACGUCCCCCAGGGUGUCUGUGGGAGGGGGUGAUGGCCCACAGGGUUUGCUGGGAGCAGAGAGAGGCAUGCACGCAUGGCCUGGGUGACCCUCGGUGGUCGCCCCUGUGCCCCAGUGCGCGACCCCUCAAACCCCAAAGCGGACACCCCUCUGGGAAGCCAGAGGACAGGAAAGCUUAGAGCAGCAGGGACAAU